CCUUUCCAUACUAUCUUUGCUAGCAUGGUAUUUAUUGCUUCUACUUUUUCCCCCAUGUCCAUCAUCAAGGAUUUUGUAGAGAACCCUAUCAAUUUAAACCUAGGACCACUAAAGUUGAAGCCACGAACAUUACCUAUAUGCCCAACCCUGAAAAAAUCCCAAGUCCGACAGUGAUAAUUUCCUACUUGACAAAAAUGGCAAAGAUUUGAAUCCCCAAGUAGUGCACCAAUGCUCCAAAUGAACUUGCUAAUAAUUAUUUUCAAAGUGAUUAACAAUAACAAUGACUGCCUAAGAAAACCAAACGUAAAGUAAUAACCGCAUCUGGGCUAUCUGAUCCAAAUCCGUUACAACUCUUUCCAAUGGCAAAAAGAUUUUU
This is a long non-coding RNA of Cucurbita moschata (crookneck pumpkin), 376 nucleotides long. RefSeq lists it as uncharacterized. Lineage: Eukaryota; Viridiplantae; Streptophyta; Magnoliopsida; Cucurbitales; Cucurbitaceae. The transcript has 3 exons. The record is from RefSeq and is a predicted model, not a curated record.